GAUGAACGCUGGCGGCGUGCCUAAUACAUGCCAGUCGAGCGAACGGACGAGAAGCUUGCUUUUCUGAUGUUAGCGGCGGACGGGUGAGUAACACGUGGAUAACCUACCUAUAAGACUGGGAUAACUUCGGGAAACCGGAGCUAAUACCGGAUAAUAUUUUGAACCGCAUGGUUCAAAAGUGAAAGACGGUCUUGCUGUCACUUAUAGAUGGAUCCGCGCUGCAUUAGCUAGUUGGUAAGGUAACGGCUUACCAAGGCAACGAUGCAUAGCCGACCUGAGAGGGUGAUCGGCCACACUGGAACUGAGACACGGUUCAGACUCCUACGGGAGGCAGCAGUAGGGAAUCUUCCGCAAUGGGCGAAAGCCUGACGGAGCAACGCCGCGUGAGUGAUGAAGGUCUUCGGAUCGUAAAACUCUGUUAUUAGGGAAGAACAUAUGUGUAAGUAACUGUGCACAUCUUGACGGUACCUAAUCAGAAAGCCACGGCUAACUACGUG
Molecule: ribosomal RNA, 497 nt
Filed under: uncultured bacterium
Lineage: Bacteria
Description: partial 16S ribosomal RNA
Rfam family: Bacterial small subunit ribosomal RNA
Source: RNAcentral